UUUUUUCUUUCAAAUCAUUUAUCAUUUUCAUCUUACUUUCUAAUUUAGAGUCGGUUUGUUUUGGUUUUUUUUAAAUGAUUUUUAUAGCGUAACAUAUUUUGAUAUAAAAAAAAUUUAUAAAGAAACUUUUUAUAAAAGUUUUAAAUAAAAAUAUGGUUUGAAUAAUUAUUCUUAAAAUGUUAUUUUAAGUAUUUCAUCAUUUUAUCGAAAAAAAAUUGGAUAUCAAAAUUUUAAAAAAUCACUUAAUUUUGAAGCUAUUUCAAAUAGCAUUUCAUAAAAAU
This 281-nucleotide long non-coding RNA is filed under the name Lathyrus oleraceus (garden pea). RNAcentral describes it as "Pisum sativum (pea) long non-coding RNA (PSAT_LNC019977)". The record is from RNAcentral. Lineage: Eukaryota; Viridiplantae; Streptophyta; Magnoliopsida; Fabales; Fabaceae.